UUAAGUGGAACUUAAGAUGUCAAGAACACCAAUCAAUCCGGGAAGAAUGUUUGGGGCUGUUAAAAAUAUUAGGUUGGUACUUGUUGUGGAUUCUUUCGAUGGGCCGAUGAAAAUGAACAAUAUAAAGGUACACAUCAAAGGCAACGAAGACAACAAGGACUGAAGAGAUAUGGAAGACAUGGAAGACUUGAAAGACCAAGCAUUAGUAUUGAUAUCACUG
Molecule: long non-coding RNA, 220 nt
Filed under: Capsicum annuum
Lineage: Eukaryota; Viridiplantae; Streptophyta; Magnoliopsida; Solanales; Solanaceae
Description: long non-coding RNA (CANN_LNC016869)
Source: RNAcentral